RNAcentral lists this ribosomal RNA (253 nucleotides) under uncultured bacterium. Its description in RNAcentral is "partial 16S ribosomal RNA". It matches the Rfam family "Bacterial small subunit ribosomal RNA", at positions 524 to 776 of the family's 1533-position model. The record is from RNAcentral.
UACGUAGGGUGCAAGCGUUAAUCGGAAUUACUGGGCGUAAAGCGUGCGCAGGCGGUUAUGUAAGACAGAUGUGAAAUGCCCGGGCUUAACCUGGGAACUGCAUUUGUGACUGCAUGGCUAGAGUUUGGCAGAGGGGGGUAGAAUUCCACGUGUAGCAGUGAAAUGCGUAGAUAUGUGGAGGAACACCGAUGGCGAAGGCAGCCCCCUGGGUCAAGACUGACGCUCAUGCACGAAAGGCGUGGGAGCAAACAGG